UAAUGUAUUUUAUUUUAGUAAAAAAAUUUUUUAAACUCUUUUUUUUACAUGCAAAUUUUUGUGUAUGAAAUUUUAAUAUAUAAUUUGGUAGUAAUUAUGAUUAAUUAAUUUAAAGAAUUUUAGAAUUAUAAAUUGAUAAAAAAUUUAACUAAUUUUGUGCCAGCAGUUGCGGUUAUACAAUUAAAUUGAAAAAAUUUUUAGUCAUAUUAAUUAUUUUUCUGUAUGAAAUAAACAUAAAAAUUUAAGGUAAAAUUUUAUUUUUAUUUAGUAUUCUAAAUUUUAUUUAAUUAAGAAACUAUAAGUAAAUCAGGAUUAGAUACCCUGUUAUAGGUGUGUAAAUAUAGUGGAGUAGUAAUAGUUAUGGUCUAGGAACUCAAAAAAUUUGGCGGUAUUUUAUCUUAUCAGAGGAACCUGUUUAGUAAUUGAUAUCCCACAACUUAUAUUUACUUUUAUUAUUAUAUUUGUAUACCGCCGUCAUGAAUCUAUUAAAAAAUUUAAUUUUCCGUUAUUCUUAUGGAAUACAUGUUAGGUCAAGGUGCAGUGUGUAAAAGUUAUAAAUGGGUUACUUUAGUAUCAUGAAUGAAAUAAAAUAUAAAAAACUGUUAUGAAAUAGGAUUUGAUAGUAAACUAAUUUAGAGAAAUUUAAUGAAAAAAGAUUCUAAAAUAUGUACACAUUGCCCGUCACUCUUGUUUAAAAUAAGAUAAGUCGUAACAUAGUAGAUGUACCGGAAGGUGUAUCUGGAAUUA
This 747-nucleotide non-coding RNA is filed under the name Acizzia uncatoides. The record is from RNAcentral. Lineage: Eukaryota; Metazoa; Arthropoda; Insecta; Hemiptera; Psyllidae.